UACGGAGGGUGCGAGCGUUGUCCGGAAUCAUUGGGCGUAAAGGGCGCGUAGGCGGCACUGUUAGUCAGGCGUGAAAGUCCUGGGCUCAACCUGGGAACUGCGCUUGAUACGGCAGAGCUAGAGGAUGGAAGAGGGUCGCGGAAUUCCCAGUGUAGAGGUGAAAUUCGUAGAUAUUGGGAAGAACACCGGUGGCGAAGGCGGCGACCUGGUCCAUUACUGACGCUGAGGCGCGAAAGCGUGGGGAGCAAACAGG
RNAcentral lists this ribosomal RNA (253 nucleotides) under uncultured bacterium. RNAcentral's name for it is "partial 16S ribosomal RNA". It matches the Rfam family "Bacterial small subunit ribosomal RNA", at positions 524 to 776 of the family's 1533-position model. The record is from RNAcentral.